Molecule: ribosomal RNA, 435 nt
Filed under: uncultured bacterium
Lineage: Bacteria
Description: bacterial SSU rRNA
Rfam family: Bacterial small subunit ribosomal RNA
Source: RNAcentral
UCGAGGAUCUUCGGCAAUGGGCGCAAGCCUGACCGAGCGACGCCGCGUGUGCGAUGAAGGCCUUCGGGUUGUAAAGCACUGUCGAGGGGGAGGAAAGCCCGCAAGGGUCUGACCUAUCCCUGGAGGAAGCACGGGCUAAGUUCGUGCCAGCAGCCGCGGUAAGACGAACCGUGCGAACGUUGUUCGGAAUCACUGGGCUUAAAGGGCGCGUAGGCGGCUCGCCAGGUCUCGGGUGAAAUCUUUCGGCUCAACCGGAAAAGUGCCUGAGAUACCGGCGGGCUCGAGCGAGGUAGGGGCAGGGGGAACUUCCGGUGGAGCGGUGAAAUGCGUUGAUAUCGGAAGGAACGCCGGUGGCGAAAGCGCCCUGCUGGACCUCACCUGACGCUGAGGCGCGAAAGCCAGGGGAGCAAACGGGAUUAGAUACCCGGGUAGUCC